Molecule: ribosomal RNA, 450 nt
Filed under: uncultured bacterium
Lineage: Bacteria
Description: partial 16S ribosomal RNA
Rfam family: Bacterial small subunit ribosomal RNA
Source: RNAcentral
GUGGGGAAUCUUCCGCAAUGGACGAAAGUCUGACGGAGCAACGCCGCGUGAGUGAAGAAGGUUUUCGGAUCGUAAAGCUCUUUCGUUAGGGACGAACGUGCUCUUUGUGAAUAAUGAGGAGUAAUGGCGGUACCUAAAUAAGAAGCCACGGCUAACUACGUGCCAGCAGCCGCGGUAAUACGUAGGUGGCAAGCGUUGUCCGGAAUUAUUGGGCGUAAAGCGCGCGCAGGCGGGAUAUCAAGUCUGUCUUAAAAGUGCGAGGCUCAACCUCGUGAGGGGACAGAAACUGGUAUUCUUGAGUGUCGGAGAGGAAAGUGGAAUUCCAAGUGUAGCGGUGAAAUGCGUAGAGAUUUGGAAGAACACCAGUGGCGAAGGCGACUUUCUGGACGAUGUCUGACGCUGAGGCGCGAAAGCUAGGGGAGCGAACGGGAUUAGAUACCCGAGUAGUCC